This is a long non-coding RNA of Cyprinus carpio carpio, 463 nucleotides long. NCBI's taxonomy places the organism in Eukaryota, Metazoa, Chordata, Actinopteri, Cypriniformes, Cyprinidae. The record is from Ensembl.
ACUCUCUCUUCACAAUGUGGUGUUCACGUAUCGUCGGAAGAACGAGCUCUGAACUGUGAGGGUGUGUCGAGCUAGAGAGCAUGGUAGCUGAUGGCAGAAACUCUUUGAUUAGCGCCCUUGGAGAAGCGGAAUGAGUUUUCACGGUGUUCAUGGUGCAUGGUGCUCGUUGAGAGGAAGAAAUAAAUUGACACCCGUUUGAAACUCUCUGCGUCUUGAUCAAUAUAUCCGAGGGGCCGCUACAGUGAAAACUCAUCGCUGCACCAGCCCUGCCAUCCCUGGUGAGAAGCUGAUGCCAUCACAUCUGAAGUCCAACCACCAACCUAAUACCGGCCAGUUUACUUCGCUUGCAUCCAACUCCUGCACACAGUUUUCACGGUGUUCAUGGUGCAUGGUGCUCGUUGAGAGGAAGAAAUAAAUUGACACCCGUUUGAAACUCUCUGCGUCUUGAUCAAUAUAUCCGAGG